GAUCAUGGCUCAGGACGAACGCUGGCGGCGUGCUUAACACAUGCAAGUCGAACGAAGAGCGAUGGAAGCUUGCUUCUAUCAAUCUUAGUGGCGAACGGGUGAGUAACGCGUAAUCAACCUGCCCUUCAGAGGGGGACAACAGUUGGAAACGACUGCUAAUACCGCAUACGAUCUGACCUCGACAUCGAGGAUGGAUGAAAGGUGGCCUCUAUUUAUAAGCUAUC
RNAcentral lists this ribosomal RNA (224 nucleotides) under uncultured bacterium. RNAcentral's name for it is "partial 16S ribosomal RNA". It matches the Rfam family "Bacterial small subunit ribosomal RNA", at positions 15 to 216 of the family's 1533-position model. The record is from RNAcentral.